UGCCAGCCGCCGCGGUAAUACGGAGAGGGCAAGCGUUGUUCGGAUUUACUGGGCAUAAAGCGCACGUAGGCGGGUUGGAAAGUCGGUUGUGAAAUCCCGGGGCUCAACCCCGGAACUGCUUCCGAAACUUCCAGCCUGGAGGACGAGAGGGGAGAGUGGAACUUCUGGUGGAGCGGUGAAAUGCGUAGAUAUCAGAAGGAACACCGGUGGCGAAAGCGACUCCCUGGCUCGUUUCUGACGCUGAGGUGCGAAAGCUAGGGGAGCGAACGGGAUUAGAUA
RNAcentral lists this ribosomal RNA (279 nucleotides) under uncultured bacterium. RNAcentral describes it as "partial 16S ribosomal RNA". It matches the Rfam family "Bacterial small subunit ribosomal RNA", at positions 506 to 784 of the family's 1533-position model. The record is from RNAcentral.